AGCCACUAGAUGAUAUUUGUGGUUUUACCUGCCCAAUGAUGUAUUGAAUGGCCGCAGUACUCUGACUGUGCUAAGGUAGCGUAAUCAGUUGGCUUUUAAAUGGAGUCGAGAAUGAAUGGGAUCACUGGAUUUUACUGUCUCGGGGGUAUAGAUUGAAUUUGCUUUUUAAGUGAAAAAGCUUAAGUUAAAUAAAAAGACGAGAAGACCCUUAGAAUUUUUAUAUGUUUUUAUUGGGGCGAUAAAGAAAUAAUUAAAACUUUCUGUCAAAACAAGCCGAUUAUAUUAAGCUAGAAUAAAUUACCUGAGGGAUAACAGCAUAAUUUUAUAUUUAAGUUUGUGACCUCGAUGUUGGACUAGGGAACUAAUAGGCUAGCCGUUUAUUUUGUGGGUUCUGUUCGAACUAUAU
This 406-nucleotide ribosomal RNA is filed under the name Nemesignis banyulensis. RNAcentral describes it as "Dondice banyulensis partial 16S ribosomal RNA". It matches the Rfam family "Bacterial large subunit ribosomal RNA", at positions 1829 to 2591 of the family's 2925-position model. The record is from RNAcentral. Lineage: Eukaryota; Metazoa; Mollusca; Gastropoda; Nudibranchia; Myrrhinidae.